This is a long non-coding RNA of Gallus gallus (chicken), 1647 nucleotides long. NCBI's taxonomy places the organism in Eukaryota, Metazoa, Chordata, Aves, Galliformes, Phasianidae. The record is from Ensembl.
CUAAACUGUGCUUUGAGAGGAUCCUGAUAAUUUCCCAGUACAGCUGGGCCACAGGACCACAUGGUCUGCAAACAGCUUCCGCCACUGAGUUCCCUGCACUAAGUCCUUCAGCUGGAAGUCUCUGCCCUCCUCUUGAAGUUAAAUAAUCCUGUGGCUCAUUUUGUGACAUCCAGGGGAUCUUGCAGAGUUCCUCACUGUGACAGUGCGAGUUGCUGCUGCAGUCAGAACAGCGGGAGAGCUCAGGGAGGGAGGAUUUGAGGCAUGGUGCGGUGCUGCCUCCAGUCUUGGCUGGUGGGACAGGAUGUGGGGACUCCUUCAACAGCCUAAAAAGGGUGUGAGCUGAAUGUCUGUGCGCUGCUCAAGCAUACUGUUCUCUGAAGCAUAAUCUCUCCACCAUCGGUCCUUUGCAUCACCCACCUGACAGGCUAUGGCAACUUCAUGAGCCCUAAGCAGCCACUGAAAACAUUAAGUUUGCAGACCUCAAGCACGUGCAGUUUCAAGCUCUGGGGAGCAGCAAGAAGAGCUGCACCAGUGAAACUCAUACCUACUGCAGCCCAGCUGCUGACUGUUAGCCGGAACUGGGGCGCAAACCAUUCCCAUUAAGUGGACACAGAAUGCAGAACAGCCAUGCUAAUUUCAGUAAUUUCUCCCAUGACUGCUUUUCCUCUGCUUUAUCCACUUAACUCUCAUCUGUUUUGUCCUCUGGGCACAUAUCUGCGUGACUCAAUUUCACUUUCCAGGAAGAGGUAACCCUCCUGAGCCUCCUCCUGGGCUUCCUUCUUGGCAAGAAGAUCUCGUGCCUCCUAGGAAAGCACGCACAGGAAAUCGGGGGAGAAUGGAUUUGAAGCUUGUGGUUGAGUCACAUCAGUUAUCCUGACGUGGACUUCAGAUCUGAAAAGAUGAAAACGCCAUUCAUAUUUUGAUCACCGUGCCAAAGGUUACAUUGGAUAACUGGACAAAAUGUGCUGUAGAAACCUCUGCAAGUGAACUGCUCUGCUCGUCACCUCACGCAGGACUGGCACUUGAAAAUUCAGACAAGAAACCUAUAAAGCUUCGAGUCAGACUGCAAACACCGUUUUCAGGUUGUGAAAACACUGUUUUCGAGACUCGCGUUGGCAGGAAAGGUUUGAUCACAUGUAUAUAUCGGAACAGAAGUAGGAGUGAAAUUCCAAGAUACUUUGGCUUUCUGCUGUCAAAUAUUCCACAGCACAAAGGCAAUACUUAACACUUAGAGGGCGUAACAGCAGCAAAAUGUCCAAACGUCCUAUGUGUCCACAUGUCAAAUCUCUUCUGUGCAUCCUUGCUGUGUCCCCCCAGCAGACUCCCGCACCGCACUAAAUUACCACAAGCAAGCAGUAACCAUGGGCCAGACAUCUUGGAGGAAUGCUUACUUUGCUAUCCAAACCACUCUGAUGUACCGGAACUUUAUGUCACUCCAUAGCUAUGAGCAUGUAAUGGAGAGACUCGAAUGGCCUCAGGACCCGCACCUUGUGAGCCGGCAGGGAGCUGGGCCUGGAGACGUGGCUGCUGAUAUACGUGAAUAUAUGAACAGAACAAGAUGCCUGGCAUUGCCAAAGUACAUCCUGACCUCCCAUCCCUGCCUGACUCCCCCAGCAGUUUCCCUGGAGGUGUGAUUGUUUAUAUGGG